This 484-nucleotide ribosomal RNA is filed under the name uncultured bacterium. RNAcentral's name for it is "partial 16S ribosomal RNA". It matches the Rfam family "Bacterial small subunit ribosomal RNA", at positions 30 to 507 of the family's 1533-position model. The record is from RNAcentral.
AUUGAACGCUGGCGGCAGGCCUAACACAUGCAAGUCGAGCGGAUGAAGGGAGCUUGCUCCUGGAUUCAGCGACGGACGGGUGAGUAAUGCCUAGGAAUCUGCCUGGUAGUGGGGGAUAACGUCCGGAAACGGGCGCUAAUACCGCAUACGUCCUGAGGGAGAAAGUGGGGGAUCUUCGGACCUCACGCUAUCAGAUGAGCCUAGGUCGGAUUAGCUAGUUGGUGGGGUAAAGGCCUACCAAGGCGACGAUCCGUAACUGGUCUGAGAGGAUGAUCAGUCACACUGGAACUGAGACACGGUCCAGACUCCUACGGGAGGCAGCAGUGGGGAAUAUUGGACAAUGGGCGAAAGCCUGAUCCAGCCAUGCCGCGUGUGUGAAGAAGGUCUUCGGAUUGUAAAGCACUUUAAGUUGGGAGGAAGGGCAGUAAGUUAAUACCUUGCUGUUUUGACGUUACCAACAGAAUAAGCACCGGCUAACUUCGUG